CCGCCUGCUGGUGGAGCCCCGCCAGAACUGACAUAGACUCGUCCAGCCUCCAGGUGCACCCACGCCCUUUUCUUGCACCAAGAAGCUGAGCAGCCUCUCUCUACUCUCUGUGACCGUCCUCUUUGGCCUCCGCAUGGUUCAGCCUGGAAUCCUGAAGAGUGUGACUGCACCGAAACCUGGAUAUUGCCCAGAGUUUACUCUAUCCUGCCCUUUCACCCUCUUACCUGUGUGCUGCACUAUAAAGCCUGCCUGGGGAUCGAGAAGUAUUGCUUCUUCAACUGUCAACAUCAGUGUACAGAGCUUUGGUGGACUUUGGAUUGAGGUGGAAACUCCUUAGCCAAGCCUGAGGAGACGCUGGUGCUACAGGCUCUGAUUUGGAUAACUGGUCUCCAAUUUGUCCAUGAUCUUCCCAGGCCCAAGAUGUCAUUUCAGAGUUAAAUGCUUGUUAAUAUGACAAGAAGACAAAGAGAUAAAGCAUUGUAUAUUUAAAACCACAGAAAAAUCUGUAAGACUG
This 514-nucleotide long non-coding RNA is filed under the name Homo sapiens (human). RNAcentral describes it as "non-protein coding lnc-WFDC12-1:1". Lineage: Eukaryota; Metazoa; Chordata; Mammalia; Primates; Hominidae. The record is from RNAcentral.